This 434-nucleotide ribosomal RNA is filed under the name uncultured bacterium. RNAcentral describes it as "partial 16S ribosomal RNA". It matches the Rfam family "Bacterial small subunit ribosomal RNA", at positions 341 to 792 of the family's 1533-position model. The record is from RNAcentral. RNAcentral also lists the same sequence under 1 other name.
ACGGGAGGCAGCAGUGGGGAAUAUUGCACAAUGGGGGAAACCCUGAUGCAGCGACGCCGCGUGAAGGAAGAAGUAUUUCGGUAUGUAAACUUCUAUCAGCAGGGAAGAAAAUGACGGUACCUGACUAAGAAGUCCCGGCUAACUACGUGCCAGCAGCCGCGGUAAUACGUAGGGGGCAAGCGUUAUCCGGAUUUACUGGGUGUAAAGGGAGCGUAGGCGGCAAGGCAAGCCAGAUGUGAAAGGCUGGGGCUCAACCCCAGGACUGCAUUUGGAACUGUCUAGCUAGAGUGUUGGAGAGGUAAGCGGAAUUCCUAGUGUAGCGGUGAAAUGCGUAGAUAUUAGGAGGAACACCAGUGGCGAAGGCGGCUUACUGGACAAUUACUGACGCUGAGGCUCGAAAGCGUGGGGAGCAAACAGGAUUAGAUACCCUGGUA